GCUGCUAGGAUUCUUUCAGAAAAGUACACUGAUGUGGUUCUCCUGGGUGAAUUUCCAGAGGAGCACUUUGACGAGCCAAUACCAAAGGAGAUCAUCAAGGUCUUGCAAGCUGACUUGUCCUACAUAAGGGAAGAAAUUGCAGCAAGAAAUUCAAAACUGGAAAUGCCCUACACAUAUCUGAACCCUGAUAUUGUAGAAAACAGUGUGACCAUUUAGGGAUUGUUUUCAUGAUUAAAAGAAAAUAAAGGAAUGUGUGAAAGGC
Molecule: long non-coding RNA, 262 nt
Organism: Poecilia latipinna (sailfin molly)
Lineage: Eukaryota; Metazoa; Chordata; Actinopteri; Cyprinodontiformes; Poeciliidae
Exons: 2
Source: RefSeq, a predicted model, not a curated record